AUACGGAGGGUGCAAGCGUUAAUCGGAAUUACUGGGCGUAAAGCGCGCGUAGGCGGUUUGGUCAGUUGGAUGUGAAAGCCCAGGGCUCAACCUUGGAACUGCAUUCAAUACUGCCAGGCUAGAGUACGGUAGAGGGAGGUAGAAUUCCACGUGUAGCGGUGAAAUGCGUAGAGAUGUGGAGGAAUACCAGUGGCGAAGGCGGCCUCCUGGAUCGAUACUGACGCUAAGGUGCGAAAGCGUGGGGAGCAAACAGGAUUAGAAACCCCGGUAGUCC
Molecule: ribosomal RNA, 274 nt
Filed under: uncultured bacterium
Lineage: Bacteria
Description: partial 16S ribosomal RNA
Rfam family: Bacterial small subunit ribosomal RNA
Source: RNAcentral